GAUGAACGCUGGCGGCGUGCCUAAUACAUGCAAGUCGAGCGAACAGACGAGGAGCUUGCUCCUUUGACGUUAGCGGCGGACGGGUGAGUAACACGUGGAUAACCUACUUAUAAGACUGGGAUAACUUCGGAAAACCGGAGCUAAUACCGGAUAACAUGUUGAACCGCAUGGUUCAACAGUGAAAGACGGUCUUGCUGUCACUAAUAGAUGGUUCCGCGCCGCAUUAGCUAGUUGGUAAGGUAACGGCUUACCAAGGCAACGAUGCGUAGCCGACCUGAGAGGGUGAUCGGCCACACUGGAACUGAGACACGGUCAAGACUCCUACGGGAGGCAGCAGUAGGGAAUCUUCCGCAAUGGGCGAAAGCCUGACGGAGCAACGCCGCGUGAGUGAAGAAGGUCUUCGGAUCGUAAAACUCUGUUAUUAGGGAAGAACAAAUGUGUAAGUAACUAUGCACGUCUUGACGGUACCUAAUCAGAAAGCCACGGCUAACUACGUG
This 497-nucleotide ribosomal RNA is filed under the name uncultured bacterium. RNAcentral's name for it is "partial 16S ribosomal RNA". It matches the Rfam family "Bacterial small subunit ribosomal RNA", at positions 28 to 507 of the family's 1533-position model. The record is from RNAcentral.